This 589-nucleotide ribosomal RNA is filed under the name uncultured bacterium. RNAcentral's name for it is "bacterial SSU rRNA". It matches the Rfam family "Bacterial small subunit ribosomal RNA", at positions 75 to 646 of the family's 1533-position model. The record is from RNAcentral.
GGUAGCAAUAUCUGUUCAGUGGCGAACGGGUGCGCAACACGUGGGCAACAUGCCUGGAAGAGCGGGAUAGCCCGGGGAAACUCGGAUUAAUACCGCAUGUGACAACGGGGCGGCUUCGCCCUGUUUUCAAAGGUGGGGACCGCAAGGCCUGCCGCUUCCAGAUUGGCCCGCGUCCUAUCAGCUAGUUGGCGGGGUAAAAGCCCACCAAGGCGACGACGGGUAGCUGGUCUGAGAGGACGACCAGCCACACUGGAACUGAGACACGGUCCAGACACCUACGGGUGGCAGCAGUCGAGAAUCUUUCACAAUGGGGGAAACCCUGAUGGAGCGACGCCGCGUGGAGGAUGACGGUCUUCGGAUUGUAAACUCCUGUCAUGAAAGAACAAGUGAUGCGGGUGAACAGCCCGCAAAGUUGAUAGUAUUUCAAGAGGAAGGGACGGCUAACUUCGUGCCAGCAGCCGCGGUAAUACGAAGGUCCCAAGCGUUGUUCGGAAUCACUGGGCGUAAAGAGUGCGUAGCGGCGCGGAAAGUCAGAUGUGAAAUCCCGGGGCUCAACCUCGGAACGGCAUCCGAUACUCCCGCGCUCGAG